AACAUUGGUCAAUGGAGGCAAUUCUGAACUAGCCAUGCAGCGUGCAGGAUGACGGCCUUAUGGAUAGAAAAUUGCUUAUGUACAGGAAGAAAAAGAGUUAAGAGUAGCGUAUUGUUGGAAAAGUAAGAAUAAGGAUCGGCUAACUCCGAGUUAGCAGCCGCAGUAAUACGGAGGAUCUAAGCGUUAUGCGGAAUCAUUGGGUUUAAUGGGUCCGUAGGCGGCCUGAUAAGUUAGCGGUGAAAGUUUUUGGCUUAACCAAAAAAUUGCCGUUGAUACUGUAGGGCUUGAAUUUUUGUGAAGUAACUAGAAUAUGUAGUGUAGCGGUGAAAUGCUUAGAUAUUACAUGGAAUACCAAUUGCGAAGGCAGGUUACUAACAAACGAUUGACGCUGAUGGACGAAAGCGUGGGUAGCGAACAA
RNAcentral lists this ribosomal RNA (418 nucleotides) under uncultured bacterium. RNAcentral's name for it is "partial 16S ribosomal RNA". It matches the Rfam family "Bacterial small subunit ribosomal RNA", at positions 360 to 775 of the family's 1533-position model. The record is from RNAcentral.